Molecule: ribosomal RNA, 494 nt
Filed under: uncultured bacterium
Lineage: Bacteria
Description: partial 16S ribosomal RNA
Rfam family: Bacterial small subunit ribosomal RNA
Source: RNAcentral
GAUGAACGCUGGCGGCGUGCUUAACACAUGCAAGUCGAACGGGAAAUAUUUCAUUGAGACUUUGGUGGAUUUGAUCUAUUUCUAGUGGCGGACGGGUGAGUAACGCGUGGGUAACCUGCCUUAUACAGGGGGAUAACAGUCAGAAAUGGCUGCUAAUACCGCAUAAGCGCACAGAGCUGCAUGGCUCAGUGUGAAAAACUCCGGUGGUAUAAGAUGGACCCGCGUUGGAUUAGCUUGUUGGUGGGGGAACGGCCCACCAAGGCGACGAUCCAUGACCGGCCUGGGAGGGGGAACGGCCACAUUGGGACUGAGACACGGCCCAGACUCCUACGGGAGGCAGCAGUGGGGAAUAUUGCGCAAUGGGGGAAACCCUGAUGCAGCGACGCCGCGUGAAGGAAGAAGUAUCUCGGUAUGUAAACUUCUAUCAGCAGGGAAGAUAGUGACGGUACCUGACUAAGAAGCCCCGGCUAACUACGUGCCAGCCGCCGCCGUAA